RNAcentral lists this ribosomal RNA (374 nucleotides) under uncultured organism. Its description in RNAcentral is "partial 16S ribosomal RNA". It matches the Rfam family "Bacterial small subunit ribosomal RNA", at positions 527 to 896 of the family's 1533-position model. The record is from RNAcentral.
GUAGGUGGCAAGCGUUGUCCGGAAUUAUUGGGCGUAAAGCGCGCGCAGGCGGUUCUUUAAGUCUGAUGUGAAAGCCCACGGCUCAACCGUGGAGGGUCAUUGGAAACUGGGGAACUUGAGUACAGAAGAGGAAAGCGGAAUUCCACGUGUAGCGGUGAAAUGCGUAGAGAUGUGGAGGAACACCAGUGGCGAAGGCGGCUUUCUGGUCUGUAACUGACGCUGAGGCGCGAAAGCGUGGGGAGCAAACAGGGAUCAGAUACCCUGGUAGUCAACGCCGUAAACGAUGAGUGCUAAGUGUUAGGGGGGUUUCCGCCCCCCUUAGUGCUGCAGCUAACGCAUUAAGCACUCCGCCUGGGAGUACGGCCGCAAGGCUG